This 253-nucleotide ribosomal RNA is filed under the name uncultured bacterium. RNAcentral's name for it is "partial 16S ribosomal RNA". It matches the Rfam family "Bacterial small subunit ribosomal RNA", at positions 524 to 776 of the family's 1533-position model. The record is from RNAcentral.
UACAGAGGUCUCAAGCGUUGUUCGGAUUCAUUGGGCGUAAAGGGUGCGUAGGUGGCCAGGUAAGUUCGGUGUGAAAGCUCGGAGCUUAACUCCGAAAUGGCAUUGAAUACUAUCUGGCUAGAGGGUCGGAGGGGAGACUGGAAUUCUCGGUGUAGCAGUGAAAUGCGUAGAUAUCGGGAGGAACACCUGUGGCGAAGGCGGCCUGCUGGGCAGUGGCUGACGCUGAGGCGCGACAGCGUGGGGAGCAAACAGG